GACGAACGCUGGCGGCGUGCCUAAUACAUGCAAGUUGAGCGCUGAAGGUUGGUACUUGUACCGACUGGAUGAGCAGCGAACGGGUGAGUAACGCGUGGGGAAUCUGCCUUUGAGCGGGGGACAACAUGUGGAAACGAAUGCUAAUACCGCAUAAAAACUUUAAACACAAGUUUUAAGUUUGAAAGAUGCAAUUGCAUCACUCAAAGAUGAUCCCGCGUUGUAUUAGCUAGUUGGUGAGGUAAAGGCUCACCAAGGCGAUGAUACAUAGCCGACCUGAGAGGGUGAUCGGCCACAUUGGGACUGAGACACGGCCCAAACGCCUACGGGAGGCAGCAGUAGGGAAUCUUCGGCAAUGGACGAAAGUCUGACCGAGCAACGCCGCGUGAGGGAAGAAGGUUUUCGGAUCGUAAAACUCGGUUGGUAGAGAAGAACGUUGGUGAGAGUGGAAAGCUCAUCAAGUGACGGUAACUACCCAGAAAGGGACGGCUAACUACGUG
This 497-nucleotide ribosomal RNA is filed under the name uncultured bacterium. RNAcentral describes it as "partial 16S ribosomal RNA". It matches the Rfam family "Bacterial small subunit ribosomal RNA", at positions 28 to 507 of the family's 1533-position model. The record is from RNAcentral.